Molecule: transfer RNA, 70 nt
Filed under: Cyrtodactylus tigroides
Lineage: Eukaryota; Metazoa; Chordata; Lepidosauria; Squamata; Gekkonidae
Description: tRNA His
Source: RNAcentral
GUAAACAUAGUUUAAUAAAAACACUAUGCUGUGGCCCUAGUAAUAAGUGCCCUUCGGCCCUUUGUUUACC